CUUAUCUUCAAAAAAAAGUUAUCGAUAUAUUUGAUGUAAAUAUUAAUAUUAACGCUUUUCGUGAAUACAAACCUCGUAAUGACAAUUAUAAAUUUUUUAUACUUAAACCAAAUUUUGAUAAAAUUUUAUUUAAAAUAAACAAAUUUUUAUAAUUUUAUUUUAUUUAAAGCAUUAUUUUUAAAUAGGUUUGCUUCUUUGAUGUAUCUUCUUACCAUUUCAGUAGAUUUAUGUCCUGUCAUAGCCAUUAUACUUCUCUCUUCUGCCCCAGAUUCAGCUGCAGAGGUCGCAAAACCUGAUCUCAAGCUAUGUCCAGAAUAAUAACUGCUUUCAAUGCCUGCUAUUUUUAAGUAAUCUUUUAUAAGUAAAGCCACUGUUUGAUCACUUAAUCUAUUAUCAGAUAGUUUUGAUCCUUUGGUAAACCUUCUGAACAAAGGUCCGGAAUUUAUUUUUGAUAUUUCUAUCCAAUUUUUUAUUGAAACCACUGGACAAUAUUGUGAAUUGUCAAAGUAGGGUAGUCCUUUUACUAAGCCUUCUCCAAACUGGUCUGUUUUAGACCUUUUAAGGCUAACUUUAAGACCCUCUGGUACAAAAUCUAGAUCUUCAUAAUCGAGUGAAACUAUUUCAUUUCUUCUAAAUCCACCUGAAAAUCCAAUUAAUAUAAUUGAUCUGUCUCUUACUUUCUUAAUUUCUUCAUUUCUUACUUUAUCUAUAACAUUAAUAAUUUGUUUUAAAUUAUUGAUUAAUAAUGGUUUUUUUCCUUUUUGAACACUUCCUUUUCUUCUUUUAAUUCCCAUUAUAUUUUCAAUAAUUAAUGGGUGUUUUGUAUCCAAAUAGUGACCUUUAAGCUUAUGUAUAACUCCUAUUGAGACUAAUCUUCUCUUUAAAGUGCUCAUUUUCAUGUCUUUAGUUGAUAAAUAGGUCAAAUAUAAAGAAACUAUUUUUGGUUCUGAUGGAAGAGAUUUAAAUCCAUUUUGUGCACAGAACAAUCCGAAAUCAUUAAAAUCUGAUUUAUAAGCUCUUACGGUAUUGUUUGCCUUUGAGCUUUGAAGAUUUAAUAAAGUUUCUUCUUGUAAUGCUUUUAAAUCUGUUAUUACUUGAUUCAUAUUUAUUACUAUUGAUAACCAUUAAUUAUCGUUAGUAAUAUAUUAUCAUUUUUUAAAUGUCAAUUGUUUAUUUUAAAGAUUAUUUGAUCUCUGAUAAGAAAUUAUAAUGAAUGAUAUUUUAAGUAUUGUGGUUGCAGGUUUAUUCUCAUGCAUAAUUUUAGACAUUCUUGGAUAUGUUUUAAGAUUGAUUGGAAGACCUGUUUUUAGGCAACUAGAAAUGGGUGGCACAAGCCAGGGAGAAGCGACUGUUUAUCAAAAACACAGGGCUCUGCUAACACGUAAGUGGAUGUAUAGGGUCUGACGCCUGCCCGGUGCUGGAAGGUUAAUGCGGUUGGUGCAAGCUAACUUCUGAAGCCCCAGUAAACGGCGGCCGUAACUAUAACGGUCCUAAGGUAGCGAAAUUCCUUGUCGGGUAAGUUCCGACCUGCAUGAAUGGCGUAACGAUUUCUCCGCUGUCUCCAACAUCAACUCAGUGAAAUUGAAUUCUCCGUGAAGAUGCGGAGUUCGCGUAGUUAGACGGAAAGACCCCGUGCACCUUUACUGCAACUUUACAUUGGUAUUAGGAAAAACAUAUUUAGUAUAGGAGGGAGACAUUGAAGCAAAGGCGUCAGCUUUUGUGGAGUCGCCAGUGAAAUACCUCUUUUGUUUUUCUUGGUAUCUAACUGAUUGCCGUCAUCCGGCAUCAAGACAUUGUAUGGUGGGUAGUUUGACUGGGGCGGUCGCCUCCCAAAUAGUAACGGAGGCGUGCGAAGGUAGGCUCAGAACGGUCAGAAAUCGUUCGUAGAGUGCAAUGGCAUAAGCCUGCCUGACUGUGAGACUGACAAGUCGAGCAGAGACGAAAGUCGGUCAUAGUGAUCCGGUGGUUCUGAGUGGAAGGGCCAUCGCUCAACGGAUAAAAGGUACGCCGGGGAUAACAGGCUGAUACUGCCCAAGAGCUCAUAUCGACGGCAGUGUUUGGCACCUCGAUGUCGGCUCAUCACAUCCUGGGGCUGGAGCAGGUCCCAAGGGUUUGGCUGUUCGCCAAUUAAAGUGGUACGUGAGCUGGGUUCAGAACGUCGUGAGACAGUUCGGUCCCUAUCUGCUAUGCGUGUAGAAGAAUUGAGAGGAGUUGACCCUAGUACGAGAGGACCGGGUUGAACAUACCACUGGUGGACCGGUUGUAGCGCCAGCUGCAGUGCCGGGUAGCUAAGUAUGGAAGAGAUAACUGCUGAAAGCAUCUAAGCGGGAAACUCACCUCAAAACUAGUUCUUCCUAUAGAGCCGUGGUAGACCACCACGUUGAUAGGCUGGAUGUGGAAGCGCAGUAAUGCGUGCAGCUGACCAGUACUAAUAGCUCAAUUGGCUUGAUUUA
Molecule: ribosomal RNA, 2453 nt
Filed under: Candidatus Pelagibacter sp.
Lineage: Bacteria; Pseudomonadati; Pseudomonadota; Alphaproteobacteria; Candidatus Pelagibacterales; Candidatus Pelagibacteraceae
Description: partial 23S ribosomal RNA
Rfam family: Bacterial large subunit ribosomal RNA (bases 1098-2452)
Source: RNAcentral